UCCCAAUUGACUUGGAUUCCCAAGUCUUGGAGGAGAUUUAAAACUUACUGUGUAUGAGAAAGUAACUCCUUGAUCUUUUAACAUCAGGAGCCAAACAUCCAAAUACAGGUAUAGUGAUAUACUCAGAUGGGCCACCACAAUAGCCAGACAUUUGGUAAAUAUCCUUGGGGUGGUAGAAAGUCUGAAGGGUAAGACCUUGUAUUGGUACACUUGUUUGCCUACAUCUUAGAUACUUCCUGUGUUGUUUCCUUAUGCUGAUAUGAAAAUACGUGUCUUUCAGAUCUGGCAUUGCAAACCAAUUCUCUUGAUAGAGAAGAGGUAAAAUUUCCAGCAAUGCUAUCAUGUGGAAUUUUCUUACAUGGACAAGCUUGUUCCGGUAGCGUAGGUCCAUGAUAGGGCGUAUCCCACCAUCCCUCUUCGGGAGUGAGACUGCUGCAGUAAUGGAGUGAGACUCUGAUUUGGCAAGAUGUUUUGCUGUAUUCAGUUGUUGUUGAGUGAGCACAGCUGAUUUACUCAAGGAGUCAUGUGGCAUCUCCCAGAUUUUGUUGAGGUGGUGCAGUCGAUGACCAGGGAGUUCAGAGCAGGAUGCUUUAGCAGGUA
Hemicordylus capensis (graceful crag lizard) is the source of this 600-nucleotide long non-coding RNA. RefSeq lists it as uncharacterized. Lineage: Eukaryota; Metazoa; Chordata; Lepidosauria; Squamata; Cordylidae. The record is from RefSeq and is a predicted model, not a curated record. The transcript is spliced from 2 exons.